This 1347-nucleotide ribosomal RNA is filed under the name Paralophiostoma hysterioides. Its description in RNAcentral is "Pleosporales sp. VVS-2019a partial small subunit ribosomal RNA". It matches the Rfam family "Eukaryotic small subunit ribosomal RNA", at positions 92 to 1098 of the family's 1831-position model. Lineage: Eukaryota; Fungi; Ascomycota; Dothideomycetes; Pleosporales. The record is from RNAcentral.
AAUGGCUCAUUAAAUCAGUUAUCGUUUAUUUGAUAGUACCUUACUACUUGGAUAACCGUGGUAAUUCUAGAGCUAAUACAUCGCUAAAAACCCCGACUUCGGGAGGGGUGUAUUUAUUAGAUAAAAAACCAAUGCCCUCCGGGGCUCUUUGGUGAUUCAUGAUAACUUAACGGAUCGCAUGGCCUUGCGCCGGCGACGGUUCAUUCAAAUUUCUGCCCUAUCAACUUUCGAUGGUAAGGUAUUGGCUUACCAUGGUUUCAACGGGUAACGGGGAAUUAGGGUUCGAUUCCGGAGAGGGAGCCUGAGAAACGGCUACCACAUCCAAGGAAGGCAGCAGGCGCGCAAAUUACCCAAUCCCGACACGGGGAGGUAGUGACAAUAAAUACUGAUACAGGGCUCUUUUGGGUCUUGUAAUCGGAAUGAGUACAAUUUAAACCCCUUAACGAGGAACAAUUGGAGGGCAAGUCUGGUGAACAUCUAGCUGGCGCCAGAAAUAGUGGGCCCUGACGGCCGGGGAUCUCCCGGCGUCGAACCGCUAGUCGAACACCCACACACUGAUGGGGGGGGUGUCGGCGAGGUAACCUGGUUCGGGGGAGCCUGUAGCAAUGGCAAUCCCGAGGCGAGCCACGGUGGUGGCCGCUGUAACGCGCGCAAAGGUACCGGCCUUCGGGCUCAAGGGACGUGCUAACCCCCCGCGAAAGCGGGUUUCCGACCUAAGCACCCAUCAUGCGAAGGUUCUGGCGGCUGACGAACAGAUCUUUAUUCAGACGACAAGAUGGCUCAUGCCCUGGUGAACCCGAACCCCCCGCCGAAAUUGUGGCCAGCAGCCGCGGUAAUUCCAGCUCCAAUAGCGUAUAUUAAAGUUGUUGCAGUUAAAAAGCUCGUAGUUGAACCUUGGGCCUGGCUGGCCGGUCCGCCUCACCGCGUGUACUGGUCCGGCCGGGCCUUUCCUUCUGGAGAACCGCAUGCCCUUCACUGGGCGUGCUGGGGAACCAGGACUUUUACUUUGAAAAAAUUAGAGUGUUCAAAGCAGGCCUUUGCUCGAAUACGUUAGCAUGGAAUAAUGGAAUAGGACGUGCGGUCCUAUUUUGUUGGUUUCUAGGACCGCCGUAAUGAUUAAUAGGGAUAGUCGGGGGCAUCAGUAUUCAAUUGUCAGAGGUGAAAUUCUUGGAUUUAUUGAAGACUAACUACUGCGAAAGCAUUUGCCAAGGAUGUUUUCAUUAAUCAGUGAACGAAAGUUAGGGGAUCGAAGACGAUCAGAUACCGUCGUAGUCUUAACCGUAAACUAUGCCGACUAGGGAUCGGGCGAUGUUUCUAUCUUGACUCGCUCGGCACCUUACGAGAAAU